GUGGGGAAAAUUGGGCAAUGGGGGAAACCCUGACCCAGCAACGCCGCGUGAAGGAAGAAGGCUUUCGGGUUGUAAACCUCUGUCCUUGGUGACGAAACAAAUGACGGUAGCCAAGGAGGAAGCCCCGGCUAACUACGUGCCAGCAGCCGCGGUAAUACGUAGGGGGCGAGCGUUGUCCGGAAUUACUGGGCGUAAAGGGUGCGUAGGUGGCCUUUUAAGUUGGAUGUGAAAUACCCGGGCUUAACUUGGGGGGUGCAUCCAAAACUGGGAGGCUAGAGUGCAGGAGAGGAAAGCGGAAUUCCUAGUGUAGCGGUGAAAUGCGUAGAUAUUAGGAGGAACACCAGUGGCGAAGGCGGCUUUCUGGACUGUAACUGACACUGAGGCACGAAAGCGUGGGGAGCAAACAGGAUUAGAUACCCCAGUAGUCC
This 428-nucleotide ribosomal RNA is filed under the name uncultured bacterium. RNAcentral's name for it is "partial 16S ribosomal RNA". It matches the Rfam family "Bacterial small subunit ribosomal RNA", at positions 354 to 796 of the family's 1533-position model. The record is from RNAcentral.